AUUGAACGCUGGCGGCAGGCCUAACACAUGCAAGUCGAGCGGUAGAGAGAAGCUUGCUUCUCUUGAGAGCGGCGGACGGGUGAGUAAUGCCUAGGAAUCUGCCUGGUAGUGGGGGAUAACGUUCGGAAACGGACGCUAAUACCGCAUACGUCCUACGGGAGAAAGCAGGGGACCUUCGGGCCUUGCGCUAUCAGAUGAGCCUAGGUCGGAUUAGCUAGUUGGUGGGGUAAUGGCUCACCAAGGCGACGAUCCGUAACUGGUCUGAGAGGAUGAUCAGUCACACUGGAACUGAGACACGGUCCAGACUCCUACGGGAGGCAGCAGUGGGGAAUAUUGGACAAUGGGCGAAAGCCUGAUCCAGCCAUGCCGCGUGUGUGAAGAAGGUCUUCGGAUUGUAAAGCACUUUAAGUUGGGAGGAAGGGCAGUUGCCUAAUACGUAACUGUUUUGACGUUACCGACAGAAUAAGCACCGGCUAACUCUGUGCCAGCAGCCGCGGUAAUACAGAGGGUGCAAGCGUUAAUCGGAAUUACUGGGCGUAAAGCGCGCGUAGGUGGUUUGUUAAGUUGGAUGUGAAAUCCCCGGGCUCAACCUGGGAACUGCAUUCAAAACUGACUGACUAGAGUAUGGUAGAGGGUGGUGGAAUUUCCUGUGUAGCGGUGAAAUGCGUAGAUAUAGGAAGGAACACCAGUGGCGAAGGCGACCACCUGGACUAAUACUGACACUGAGGUGCGAAAGCGUGGGGAGCAAACA
Molecule: ribosomal RNA, 751 nt
Filed under: uncultured Pseudomonas sp.
Lineage: Bacteria; Pseudomonadati; Pseudomonadota; Gammaproteobacteria; Pseudomonadales; Pseudomonadaceae
Description: bacterial SSU rRNA
Rfam family: Bacterial small subunit ribosomal RNA
Source: RNAcentral